AAGUCGGCAGGCCGCCGGGAAAAGGGGGGCGGCUCCGCCGUCAGUCGCGGUCGGCCGGCCUGCGACUUUGCUGUCCUCUCCUGACCCGGGGGCGCAGCUGGGGCGCCCUUUGGCGGUGCGAGCCGCGGUGCGGCCGCGGACUGCCCCAAGGUGAUUUUGACCUUUCUCGCCACCGCGAGUUGGCCUGAGGCGGACCCCGCCGAAUUUUGGAUUAGCCCCAGGUCAAACAGCUUAUCUCUUUCCACCUGUCGCGGAGGAGCGGGGCCCACGGAGGUUGUGUGCCCUCGUCGCCCGUCCGCAUACCGGGCAAGAUCUGUAAGAGGAUGACGUACCUGGCUGUGGCCCGGCCAGGCUAGAUUGCCACCACCGCACCCCCACCGCCGGGACUUGAAACAGCUGAUAAGUGGCUCGGGUAACUUCGAGUGUGGGGCGGCACGAUCUUUCUCGGACCAGGCAUGUCUGGUACAAGUGAAAGCGGAGAGGUGCUGUCGCUGUCGGAGCGCCCUUGAGUUGGGUUUACGUAAAAAUGAGCAUUACCACCGUUUUCAGGAGCACCGAAACGGAGCAAACACUGUUAGGAAGCAGAGUUUGCAACCCUUCGUUUAUCACGGUGGAAACUGAUUUGAAACAAAACAAAACAUUGGACUGGACGACUGGCAAGCAGGAGGGAUUUUUAAGUUUCCAUCACACCCGGUAUCUGAAAGUUUUAUUUGAGAAGAGCUUUUGUUUUCUUACCUUUUUUUUUUUUUUAACCACUUUGUGUUUUAGUUUACAUUGCUGUACAUUCCCGAGAGAAUCUUGUCUGGCAAAUUAUUUUAUUGGUUUCGUUUUUAUUUUUUUUUUUAAGCUGGAUUUUUUUUUUUAUACACCCAGCAAGAUAGAGCUGAGAAGUGAAAAUUAAGAGGUUAAAUUGUUCUUAUGCCUCGGGAGGAGGUAGGAACUGGCAGGACCGAAGAAAGACGCUGAUUUUAUUAGUCACCGCAUAGUAACGGGCACACAGAAACUAGGUGGUGAGGAAGAUUUGGCCAAAAAUUGGUUAAGCAAAACACAUUAGGCCUCUAAAGAAUAUACCGGUGCUUGAACUUCUCUUGGCUGUCACUGACACUCGUCACUCCAAAUACCACACACUACAGCCCGGAAUGUGAAAACAUCACUGAACUAUGCCAGUGAUAAUCUCUUAAAUAAAUAAUAAAGUGUUUUUAAAUGUUA
This is a long non-coding RNA of Prionailurus viverrinus (fishing cat), 1209 nucleotides long. RefSeq lists it as uncharacterized. Lineage: Eukaryota; Metazoa; Chordata; Mammalia; Carnivora; Felidae. The transcript has 2 exons. The record is from RefSeq and is a predicted model, not a curated record.